Molecule: ribosomal RNA, 446 nt
Filed under: uncultured bacterium
Lineage: Bacteria
Description: partial 16S ribosomal RNA
Rfam family: Bacterial small subunit ribosomal RNA
Source: RNAcentral
CCUACGGGUGGCAGCAGUCGAGAAUCAUUCACAAUGGGGGAAACCCUGAUGGUGCGACGCCGCGUGGGGGAAUGAAGGUCUUCGGAUUGUAAACCCCUGUCAUGUGGGAGCAAAUUAAAAAGAUAGUACCACACGAGGAAGAGACGGCUAACUCUGUGCCAGCAGCCGCGGUAAUACAGAGGUCUCAAGCGUUGUUCGGAAUCACUUGGCGUAAAGCGUGCGUAGGCUGUUUCGUAAGUCGUGUGUGAAAGGCGCGGGCUCAACCCGCGGACGGCACAUGAUACUGCGAGACUAGAGUAAUGGAGGGGGAACCGGAAUGCACGGUGUAGCAGUGAAAUGCGUAGAUAUCGAGAGGAACACUCGUGGCGAAGGCGGGUUCCUAGACAUUAACUGACGCUGAGGCACGAAGGCCAGGGGAGCGAAAGGGAUUAGAUACCCCAGUAGUC